AAUAAGAGACGGAACU
RNAcentral lists this small RNA (16 nucleotides) under Arabidopsis thaliana (thale cress). RNAcentral describes it as "ATSL251010". The record is from RNAcentral. Lineage: Eukaryota; Viridiplantae; Streptophyta; Magnoliopsida; Brassicales; Brassicaceae.